UAGGGAAUCUUCCACAAUGGACGCAAGUCUGAUGGAGCAACGCCGCGUGAGUGAAGAAGGUUUUCGGAUCGUAAAGCUCUGUUGUUGGUGAAGAAGGCUAGAGGUAGUAACUGGCCUUUAUUUGACGGUAAUCAACCAGAAAGUCACGGCUAACUACGUGCCAGCAGCCGCGGUAAUACGUAGGUGGCAAGCGUUGUCCGGAUUUAUUUGGCGUAAAGCGAGCGCAGGCGGAAGAAUAAGUCUGAUGUGAAAGCCCUCUGCUUAACCGAGGAACUGCAUCCUAAAAUGUUUUUCUUGCGUGCAGAAGAGGAGAGAGGAAUUCCCUGUGUGUCGAGCGAAUCCGUAGAUAUAUGUAAGAACACCAGUGGCGAAGGCGACUCUCUGGUCUGCAACUGACGCUGAGGCUCGAAAGCAUGGGUAGCGAACAGA
RNAcentral lists this ribosomal RNA (429 nucleotides) under bacterium. RNAcentral describes it as "partial 16S ribosomal RNA". It matches the Rfam family "Bacterial small subunit ribosomal RNA", at positions 355 to 776 of the family's 1533-position model. The record is from RNAcentral.